AAUGAACGUUGGAGGCAUGGAUUAGGCAUGCAAGUCGAGCGAGAAGGAUAUCAAAGUUUACUUUGAUAUCCGGAAAGCGGCGCAAGGGAGAGUAACGCGUAGUUAUCUACCCCAAGGCCCGGAAUAGCUGCGGGAAACUGCAGGUAAUGCCGGAUAAUAUCCCAGGAUCAAAGGUGUGAUUCCGCCUUGGGAGGAGACUGCGUUGUACUAGCUUGUUGGUAGGGUAAUGGCCUACCAAGGCUACGAUGCAUAGCGGGCGUGAGAGCGUGGCCCGUCUCACUGGGACUGAAACACUGCCCAGACACCUACGGGUGGCUGCAGUCGAGAAUCUUCGGCAAUGGGCGAAAGCCUGACCGAGCAAUGCCGCGUGCGGGAUGAAGGCCCUCGGGUUGUAAACCGCUGUCGUAGGGGAGAAAGGUCUCAUGAAGAAUGAGAUUUGAUCUAUCCUAGGAGGAAGUCCGGGCUAAGUUCGUGCCAGCCGCCGCUGUAAAAC
Molecule: ribosomal RNA, 493 nt
Filed under: uncultured bacterium
Lineage: Bacteria
Description: bacterial SSU rRNA
Rfam family: Bacterial small subunit ribosomal RNA
Source: RNAcentral